This 2302-nucleotide long non-coding RNA is filed under the name Lytechinus variegatus (green sea urchin). RNAcentral's name for it is "uncharacterized LOC121410872". Lineage: Eukaryota; Metazoa; Echinodermata; Echinoidea; Temnopleuroida; Toxopneustidae. The record is from RNAcentral.
AGUGGGGAGAAGAGAGGGAGGAAGAAGGUGGGGGUGAGAGAGGAGUGAAAACACAGAGAUGAGAAAGAGACCGAAAGGGGAGAAGGGAUGGAUGAUGGUACGAAAUAUAAAAGUUCAGGUUCAAGUUGAUUUUAAUAAAAAGAGGAAAGCAAACCUGCACAACACUGAACAUUUUUAGUAAAAUAGAUGCAAAAUAAGAUGAGUUCAAGGAGAUUUUUAAAAAAAAUUGGUUAUAUACACAACAUGGAUGGUAUCCAAUGAGAGGUAAUGUUAUAAAUUUACACACUUUUUUUUUUCUUUUGUAGAACUGAAUUGUUGAUAAAAAGUUAUUGACUGAAUCCUUAAUUUUCAUUAACGACCAUUACACAAGUUAUGGGAUGAGUCAAAUCAUUUAUAUGAGAGCUGAAGAUCACAAUAUUUCAUAUUAAAUAGAGAAGGAAAUUGUAAUUGUGUGACAUUGGUUCAGUCAAUCGCAUAUUUUACAUGUGCAUAAACUGUUAUAUGAAACAGCAACAAUUCAAACCAUGUGAAACGUUUGAAUGUUUUUAAAAUUUUGUGAAAUGGGCUAGAGUUGGAAAAGAAAAUUAUGAUGGUUGAGAUACUGAAGUGAGAAUGAUAGAUGAAACUUAAAACAAUAUGCUAGUGAGACUGGGAGCAUCAAUCAAAAUACAUGGCAGUGAUGUCAUCCUUUGAAAGAAAAUUGAUUUUUUUCAGCACUAUAUUCCUGAAUCUUCUCAUAUGUCCUACUAUUUAGGGGGUAGAACUUUGUUAUAAAGAUUAUCACAUCUAGGCAUUAUGUCAUACCCCCAUUUGGAGAAAGACAGCAGUUCUAUACCCCAUUUUGCGUUUAUAAAUUUCAAAAAUCAUUUCCAAGCCCAGGGGGCCGUUUCAUAAAGCUGUUCGUAAGUUAAGAGCGAACAACUGGUGAUGUACCAUAAUUUGCCAAUGGUGUUUACCAUUUACCGCAAGACAGGAUCACCAGUCGCUCUUAACUUACGAACAGCUUUAUGAAACACCCGCCCGAUCAACCCCGCUUGGCCAGGUAAACCCCGCUGUCUCAAUUUCUUCCCCACAGGCCAGAUUAGAGCGCUGAGCCAAGGACGAAAUGAUAAACACAGCUGUGCUAUUACUAGAAUGAUGGGAUUGGUAUCAUUUCAUCAGUGGAGGACAGAGGAAAUCUGCUAUGAAGUAUCACAUUGAAAGAGUACACCAAAAGGGGUCCCUGUUGCUCCAUCCAUGGGAUGAUUACCGUGUUGGAUUGUAUGCAUUGUAAUGCUGAAGGGAACCUAAUAAAAACUGACUGUAUAGUAGCUAUGCUCAUCAGUUUAAUAUAACAGUUACAGUUACAGUACUUCUCAGCCAAUCACAAUCAAGGAAAGUUGUCAGAUCUGCAUACAUGUCAGCUAGGCAACAAAUGUUGAUGAAGUUCUCAUAAGGCAGGCCAACCUGCUUGUCAGCUGUGCUAGCUAAGCUGAUGUGUUAGCAGGGAGCCAAUUGAUUUAUCUGUGCUUGUUUUUGACUUGCAAGAUCAUAGAUUGAGCAGUCAUCCCCCCUCUACUUGACAGCUGAUUCAUCUGUGAUCUUUCAAGUAGUGGGUGAGAGGAGGAAAAAGGACAGAAAGGAGAGCAUAAUAACAAGAGUUUUAGUUAAGCUAUACUACUAUUACUCAAUGGAGCAAAAUUUAUGACAUCUUGCAUCAAGCAAUAUCCCUCCCUAGUGAGUUUAUUUCUUCUGUUGUUGUUGUUAUUUCUGUAUAUUUUACUGGAUGGCUAAAGAGUUUUUUGGCCCCCUUUUUUUGUCUCACCUGCAUAGCAGAGUGAGACUAUAGGCACCGCUUUUCCGACAGCGGUAGCGUCAACAUCAAAUCUUAACCUAAGGUUAAGUUUUUGAAAUGUAAAAAUGUUUAUAUUCCGAAAGCCUGAACAUGCAUACAGCACUAAAGAAAGAAUAAAGUAAACGAGCGCAUAACGCAAACUGAAUUAUUUUUCGCGGUUUGGACCUUAUAAGGAAGUACGGGACGUUCGACAUUCUAAAGAACUGCUUACCCAAUAUUGGGUAAAAUGGGAAUAUGAUUGUAUGCUUGCUGGGUAAAGUGAUACUAGUACCAGAUGAAUUUUACGCAAUAUUGCGUUGAAAUAUACCCUUUUAACUUGCAUUUUACCCAACAUGAGGGGGAAUUGCGCAGCAAACAUGCUUGUUCCCUUUUUACCCAAUGUUGAGUAAAUUUUUACUCAAUUUUUUGUCUCACCUGCAAAGCAGAUUGAGAUUAUAGGCGCCGCUUUUCCGACGGCGGCGGCGUAAA